AAACUUGUAUUUCUUUUGGAGAGAGCGCGCGGGUUCGACGGGUUCGACGCUCUCCUCGAGAGAGAGAGAGCGUCAACUGGCACGUGCACGAGAGCCCAUCGAGGCUGGCCGCAUCCCCUCGUAUCGAGCGCGGGAGA
Molecule: long non-coding RNA, 137 nt
Organism: Apis dorsata (giant honeybee)
Lineage: Eukaryota; Metazoa; Arthropoda; Insecta; Hymenoptera; Apidae
Exons: 3
Source: RefSeq, a predicted model, not a curated record